GGAGAUUUCAGUAUUUUCUGUAGCAAAAUUAUUCUGAUUUUUAAAAAUGUUUUAUGUUAGCAAAAAUAUCCCAUACCUUGUGGAGGAAGCUUGCAGAUACUGUUGAAGUACUGUGAGUAGAAGCAAAUCCAACUAAAUUCUUUUAUAUAUUGAGCAGAGGAUGGAAGAUUUCCAUCUUUCUGACCCACCUCCCCCUCUGAAAUAGUAUCAAACUGCUCAAUUUUGGACUUAAUUAUUCAGGCUUUGUUCAUGCAAAACUUCCAACAGUGUCCAUGAGCACUUUGCCUGAAAAAGAACAAAUUCAUUAAAGCUGUAUGUUUUCAUUAAGGGCUCAGAGAAGCAAAUGGAAAGAAGGGGUAACAUCUAUAAAAAUAACUUUUGUAGGUCUCUUGAGUUUAAUUUCCAGUUCUUUCUAUAAAAAAAAAAAGACAUAGAAAAAGUAAUAAGAAAAAUAUGCUCUAAAUGAUGUGUAUCCUCCUCUCCCAGACUGGACUGGCACAAGACAACCAGUUCCUGUCUGCCAGCUGUGGACACCCUAUUUCUUUUGGAGUGUGCGAGAUCCAAUUUGCCAGUAUGUGGAUAUCACAUUCUUAAGCAAGAUAUUGCUGAACCAUAAGGGAAAAAUGUGCAAUGUUAAGGCCACCAUUCUUCAGACUAAAAGUAAAUGAUAAAACAAGUCGGAUAAACUGUGACAUCUGCCAUUUCAACAAUACACCAGAGGCUGAGAUGGGGACUGCUGGAGCUAAAUGCAUGAACCACGCUACGCUUCUCCUCCACCUCAGAUGUCCUGUUUCUUCAGCCAUCUCUUUCAAACACUCUUCUGUAGUGGGGAGUUUCCCCUACGAUGUCCCUCGUAUUUCUCCAUGA
This 867-nucleotide long non-coding RNA is filed under the name Struthio camelus australis. RNAcentral's name for it is "lncRNA (ENSSCUG00000008800.1)". The record is from RNAcentral. Lineage: Eukaryota; Metazoa; Chordata; Aves; Struthioniformes; Struthionidae.